This 817-nucleotide ribosomal RNA is filed under the name Phytophthora katsurae. Its description in RNAcentral is "eukaryotic LSU rRNA". It matches the Rfam family "Eukaryotic large subunit ribosomal RNA", at positions 40 to 685 of the family's 3401-position model. Lineage: Eukaryota; Oomycota; Peronosporomycetes; Peronosporales; Peronosporaceae. The record is from RNAcentral. RNAcentral also lists the same sequence under 1 other name.
AUAUCAAUAAGCGGAGGAAAAGAAACUAACAAGGAUUCCCCUAGUAACGGCGAGUGAAGCGGGAUGAGCUCAAGCUUAAAAUCUCCGUGCAAGUUUUGCGCGGCGAAUUGUAGUCUAUAGAGGCGUGGUCAGCGUGGGCACUUGGGGCAAGUUCCUUGGAAGAGGACAGCAUGGAGGGUGAUACUCCCGUUCAUCCCUGAGUCGCUCAUGCGUACGACCCGUUUUCUUUGAGUCGCGUUGUUUGGGAAUGCAGCGCAAAGUAGGUGGUAAAUUCCAUCUAAAGCUAAAUAUUGGUGCGAGACCGAUAGCGAACAAGUACCGUGAGGGAAAGAUGAAAAGAACUUUGAAAAGAGAGUUAAAGAGUACCUGAAACUGCUGAAAGGGAACCGAAUCGUUUCCAGUGUCUAUAAUCCGUGGCAUAUUUCAUUGGCGAGUGUGUGCGUGCGUGUGCUGUGGCAGUGGCUUUUUUGGCUGCGCUCGGUGUGUGUGCUGUGUGUGCUUGCUGGUGCCCUGUGCUGCGGUGGGACGUCAAGGUCAGUUCGUAUGCUGCGGGAAAUGGCUGCCGAGGAGGUAGGGCUUACGCUUGCGUUUGUCUGUUAUAUCUUGGUGGACGAGUCGUCGCGGUUGGGACUGAGGUGCCUACAACGUGCUUUUGAGUGGGUUUGUGUCUCCGUGUGCGCCGUGUGCGGAUAGCUUGCUAUGCGUGUGUGGUUGUGUGUGGAUUGAUGCGGGCUUUAACUUGUUGCCGUUCGGGACGUUGACGAAAUGGAGCGAUCCGACCCGUCUUGAAACACGGACCAAGGAGUCUAACAUGUGU